AACUUUCAACAACGGAUCUCUUGGUUCUGGCAUCGAUGAAGAACGCAUCGAAAUGCGAUAAGUAGUGUGAAUUGCAGAAUUCAGUGAAUCAUCGAAUCUUUGAACGCACAUUGCGCCCCUCGGUAUCCCGGGGGGCAUGCCUGUUCGAGCGUCAUUUCUACCUCUCAAGUCUAACUUGGUAUUGGGCAUCGUUAUGAAAAUUAACGUGCUUUAAAUGUAGACGGCAACAAUUCCCCAGCUUGAAGCGUAGCAGUAAAACAUUUUCGCUUUAAAAGCUGCUGGGUCUUGUUUACCGCAUAGUUUUUACUACAGUUUGACCUCGGAUCAGGCAGGGAUACCCGCUGAACUUAAGCAUAUCAAUAAGCGGAGGCU
RNAcentral lists this unclassified non-coding RNA (372 nucleotides) under uncultured Zalerion. RNAcentral's name for it is "sequence contains ITS2". The stretch from base 1 to 154 matches the Rfam family "5.8S ribosomal RNA". Lineage: Eukaryota; Fungi; Ascomycota. The record is from RNAcentral.